GAUUAAAAGUCACUUCCAUGAUUGAAAGAUACAAAGAAAAUGAUAGGUGAAGUAGCGAAGAUUAAUCGAGAGAAACCAAUUUCAUUAGGUUCUCUAUGUGGAAAAUACAAGAGGUAAAUAUUCACUAAACAUCACAAAUAUCAUGAGACAUCGCAGGUAUUGUGAUACAUCGACAUGUGUCGAGUGUCGACAAUAUUAAUCUCAUCGAUAGAUUGGAUUUUUCAUAUUCCAAGAUGGCAUAGUAUCGCUGACCAGCAAUACUGAAAAUAUUGGCCGAUAUCGUCAUUAGAUUGAACACUUGUUCUAAAUAUUGCCAGAAAUUGAUCCUUCGAGAUGGUUUGGUGCAUAACUAGCUUAAUUGCCUUAGCUUUUAGUUUUGAUUUUUUACAAUGUUUGAAUGGUUUUGAAAUAUUAUUUGCUUCCAUUUGAAUGACCAUAUACGCAUAAUCAUGGUUUGAUUCAAUUGAGUGAUCUCGAAUUCUGAUUUGAUACCUUUUAAUGGUUUUGUAGAAAAUUUAAAUAGUUUAAGUGGAAUGAUAUUUUUUUCAGGGAAAAUUUUUGAGGAAUGUGACUUUCAGGAACUUCUAAGCAACUACAAUACUCAGUAAUGUUAAAACUAGUUAUAUUAGCUUGUGUUGAGAUUAGUUAUUGAGCUAAAACUGAUAAAAACAUCAGCAUGGAUCUUUAUGCACCAUGUAUGAUAUAAAACACAUUGAAAUGAAGAAAAUUUGCUCUUGGAGCCUCCAGCCGUGUCCCUAGACAUUGCCUAUUGCCUUGGAAUGUCCUGGGACUCUUGCGCCUUGAGUGCGUCUAUAACCUUUCGUGGAGCUACAGGCCCUAACUCAUGAUCUAAAUGCUGAGCGCUGUAGCAGGAGCCUGUAAUCCUAACUUGGGCGCUAAGGUGGUGGAUGGAUGGUUGCCUCUGCCCAACUGGGUAGAGUCUAAUCCGUGUUACUGACUUGCCAGGUCAAAGUUGGGCAGCCAAAUCACGUUACAUGGGUGAAGGCUUGAACAUCUUUUUCUUUGAGAGGGACCAUGUCAGACAGGCUUCACAGUUUUGCUGGUCCUGAGAAAUAUUCAACACCCAAAUUUGCUACUUUGCAGCCAAGUCUAUAAAGUAGAUCUUCUCACCAAAGCACUCGCUUGACUCAAAAAGGGAGCGUCCUGUCUUUUUGAUGGACAAGCAGUCAAUUCAAUAGUGUUUAUGGAAUGUUGACUCAAAAAGGGCCUCUUAGAUCUCUAUGCUUCAGCUUGAGGGGGAAUGUGAAAGACAUUCUUGUACAGCUCACUUGCCUAUCAUCUUUUUCGUGGAGUUCGUCAUUUAUUGCCAGAUGUGAGAUGACCACAAGUAUCUUUUUUAUAGUGGUCUUACCAUUAAGGGGACAUUUUUUUCUCAGCACACACAUACAUGGUGUCUUACGAACCUGGUACUGGAAGACUAAGGUUUUUUAGUAUUUUGUAUCAGGUGUAUCUUGUUUUAGCUUUAAUUGGAGUAUGGCAGUCACAUUCUGUAGGAAAAUUAUAUUUCCUGUCUGAUAUGGUGACGUGCAAUUUUGCAGAUUGAAUAUCCUGAAAUUGAAGACCUAGCGAAGCCGUGACAUUGGUUUAUGUCAUCCUUUGAGCAGGUAGGUUGUUCUGUUCUUCAGCUGGGCCAAACAUGUGAAGUGAUUCGACAGUCAAGAGAAAUUAACCAAGGUUAGCAUUCAGCCUCCAUGUAUCCAAGAUCAGAUCAUCCUGAUUUUUGUGACAACGAUCUACAUGGUGGGGCCCACUUGAUGAGCACAUCACAUGUUGCUCGUGUGCCAUGUUGCUGCAUGAGAGGCAGGUGGUGGUCCGCACAAUCCCUCAUCAGCCUGGAUUUCUUCUAAGUCUAGUAUGGCUCCUGGACAAAGAAGGAUAGAUUUUUCUCAGUGAAAUCAGUAUGCGGCGGACAGUCUAGCAUGGCGUCUGGACACAAAAGGAAAAUUCUCAGUGAAAUCUCUUUAUAGUCAUUUAGCCAGCAGCCCUCCUCCAAUCGAAGGGACUUCGUUAUAUCAUGGCUGGAAAUACCAAGUCCCCCCCACAAUUGCGGUUUUCGGAUGGUUGGCAAGGAUAGGGUACUCACAGUUGAUAAUCUGAGAAAGAGGGGUAUGAUCAGCACUAACAUCUGUUUAUGCUGCAUGGCUAAAGAAGAAACGGUGGAUCAGCUCUUUAUCGAUUGCCAGUUCACAUAUCAGAUUUGGAUCGCAAUUCUAGCCCGCUUUAAGGUCCCCUGGACCUUUCCAGAGUCAGCUAAUGGCCUUCUUCAAGCCUGGCAUGGAGUGAGGUGUGGGAAGCAUAGAUCAAAGCUAUGGAGAAUGUCCCUUCUGGUCGUUUAGUGGACCGUGUGGGAAGAAAGGAACGGAAGAUGCUUUAAUGACACUUCUAAAUCAGUCGAGGCUACGAUUCUUAGGGUGACUCAUCUAUUAGUCGAAUGGGCUUCUUCAACCGAUAAAUUUCGGGAUUGUAACUUACUCUUUUUAGGAGAUUAGCUGGUCGGCUAUCUCAGCAGACCAGCUUCAUCUUUCUCUGUUUUCUCCUUUUUUUAAAUAAAAUUAUCUUGUUA
RNA transcript from Magnolia sinica, 2584 nucleotides. RefSeq lists it as uncharacterized. The transcript has 5 exons. NCBI's taxonomy places the organism in Eukaryota, Viridiplantae, Streptophyta, Magnoliopsida, Magnoliales, Magnoliaceae. The record is from RefSeq and is a predicted model, not a curated record.